GAUCAACGCUGGCGGCGUGCAUGAGACAUGCAAGUCGAACGAAGGAUCGGGCUUGCUCGAUCCUUAGUGGCGGACGGCUGAGUAACGCGUAGGUGACCUACCCCGACGUGGGGAAUAACUGCCCGAAAGGGUGGCUAAUACCGCAUGUGGACGCACGUCCAUUCGUGCGAGUAGAGCCGCAAGGCGCUGCGGGAGGGGCCGGCGUCCGGUUAGCUCGUUGGGUGGGUAAUGGCCUACCAAGGCGAGGAUCGGUGGGUGGUCUGAGAGGACGGCCACACAGGCUGGGAGUGACGCCCGACCCAGACUCCUGAGGGAGGAGGCGGUAGGGAAGUUUGAUCAAUGGGGGACUCACGGAGGCAGCAACGCCGCGUGAGGGAUGAAGGCGUUCGGGUUGUAGACCUCUUUUGUCAGGGACGAUGAUGACGGUACCUGGCGAAUAAGCCACGGCUAACUACGUG
RNAcentral lists this ribosomal RNA (458 nucleotides) under uncultured bacterium. Its description in RNAcentral is "partial 16S ribosomal RNA". It matches the Rfam family "Bacterial small subunit ribosomal RNA", at positions 28 to 507 of the family's 1533-position model. The record is from RNAcentral.